This is a long non-coding RNA of Esox lucius (northern pike), 2549 nucleotides long. The record is from Ensembl. Lineage: Eukaryota; Metazoa; Chordata; Actinopteri; Esociformes; Esocidae.
AUAUAUACUUUUUUUUUUUAAGUAUAGUGCAAAGAUAUGGUCAACCACGCCCCGGAUGGAAAGUGGUCAUAAAUGGAGAGAUACAAGGUAUGAAGCGACGCUGGCUGAUGCUUUGAGAUUGUAUCAUUUGGCUUCAUGCAUUCAUAUUUCUUGUUAAGGAGGCCCAUGACAUUUACGGCAGGAAGAGGGCUUUCCAAGGGUUUGAGGGCAUGGCAGUACUAGUGGAGCUGAGCCUGGGGCCAGGACUGGGACUGGGCCCCUGGGAAUUGAUACGACGUACUGGAGCCAGAAGCCUCUGCCCUGACACUCAGACACACACACACACACACACACACACACACAGGAAUGCAUGCAUGCACACAAACAAGCAUGCGCAUAAAACACACAAAAAGGAAUGCACGCAGGCACCCAUGUAAAUGGAUGUGCACGCACACACACAACCUCUUCCUGCCAACAGCAGCGGGUUCCUCUGGAUGGGGAGAAUUCGGCAGUCAUUCUAGACAAGAAAAAUAAGACAGCUAAACUACAGAGGGGUUACACACACACUCAUUAACACACAGCCUGGCGUUUGGCACACACACACACCUUCACACUAUCACAUGCAACAUCUCCCUCAGGGAAUAAAUGAAGGGUAAUCCUGAAGCCUCCUUUUAGCUCCCUCUUUGGAUAGAAAAUGGGGUGUGUCACAGAUGAGUUACACUUGUGGUAUGCUGGUAUUCCAUAGAUUAUAACGAAGCACAGAAGAUCCACCAUGGUUACACCGCCACUCAUUCGGCUGGUGUUUCAAUAGGGGAACAACCAUGUGACCCCUACAGAGAGUGCACUGACAGGGCAGAGGUCAGGAGUACUUUUAUAUUGGCAGUGGAGCACAGCAGAUAUACCUAACCACACAGCUGACCACAGCACUUCUGCUACCUCUUCUAGGACAAAAGGUCUUCUUCAAAGUUAUGUUCGAGCUACUUUCACUUCUAUCAAAAAAUUUCCUCUGCGUGGAGACUUGACAUUAUGUCAGAAUAUACUUUUCUUGCUUUAGUAAACUCUUUGCAGUGUAUCACAGUUGGUGACCAUACCUUUUCAUGACCACAGUCAAUCCACGUUGUCACAGCAACAGUAUCUAAAAACAGUUUAGUAAUGUCUCAUGUCUUGCCUUUCCAUCAGAGAAAAAGAUCACAAAUAUAAACUUGGGAAUUAGAAAUGGCAGAGAUUAUUAAGGCAGAAUUGGCAAUGGAUCAAAGUGGUUAACAUUUGAGUCUAUCCAUAAAACAGUGCUAUAAAAGCUUUAUCACGGGAUCCAUUAAUACAUUCACACCCAAAUAAAAGUCAACACCCUUGAGAAACGUGAUUUAACUGUUUCUCUGUGUGCACAUGUGAAGUGAAACCAGUCACAAGGACAGCAAUACAGCACACCACAAACCAUCAGCUAAAGGUCUUGAUCCUGUAGUACAGGGUGUUGUCUAGCCAUCAGCUAAAGGUCUUGAUCCUGUAGUACAGGGUGUUGUCUAGCCAUCAGCUAAAGGUCUUGAUCCUGUAGUACAGGGUGUUGUCCAGCCAUCAGCUAAAGGUCUUGAUCCUGUAGUACAGGGUGUUGUCUAGCCAUCAGCUAAAGGUCUUAACCCAUGGGUUCAGAGCCACUGUAGGUAUAAGCACAGUCAUUAAGGGCCCCUAUACGAACAUUAUAUGUUAAGUUGAGUCACAAUCACUGAUGACACUCAACUAAACCAUCUCUGCUAAUUCACUUUUGAUUAAAAAGACAAUCUAAAUAUUUACAAAAGUUGUCCUCUUUCUAAACAAUACAUCAUGUCAAAAUUCCUCUCAGAUGUUUGAGUGUUGGCUGUUACAUUUAUAAAUGAAAUGCUGCACCUCCACAUGUUUUCCCAGUAGCUCAAGGUUAAAAAAUGGAACUCGUUAAGUAACCCAGAAAACAAGCUGGAUUGUGGGUCAGUUACAGUCUGAGCAACUGGGCAUCUUUAAAACACACAGGAAUUAGCCUUUUAAUUGAAUUUGAAUUAAAUUGAGUAUAAUAGUGAAGUAUAAAUUGUAUUCAAAUGUCAGUAUAUUUUACUGUACACAUCAGCAAAAUAAUAAUUCUGAUACAUGAAAAUGAUUACAGUGUUCAUAUUUAUGAUAAUCACAAUGUUAGUCUAAUGCUAAUCUGCCUUGCCACAACCUAACUGCCCAAAAUAUUUAUAGCUGAACAGUUUCUCCAAUAAAAACAUAUCUUGCUUGUCUAUAGGUUCUAUUAGUAGUUGCCUACAACAGCAUCCAAACCGAUUAUCUUGUAGUACCAGUUUCAGAACCUUGGCGCAAUAGCUUAAAAUGUGGCUAUUGGGUAGAAUACAUAAUUAAAUGAAAAUAAUCCGUUCUAGACCCUGUAUCCUUCACUAAAGUGAAUACAUUUCAGUGAAACGUGCUCAUCUUCGCCUUAUCCUUUAGGGCUGGCCCAAAACAGUUGCUAGGGAGACAACAUGAGAAUGUUCAAACAUGUCUUCCUUCAUUAUUAUAAAUGACGGAUAUAAGAAUAUAAGGACUUAAACUAAGUUGCCUUCGAU